GUUCCUGAUCAUAGGAUUGCCAAUUGGGCAUUGACAGUCCAUUAAGAUCAGUACGUGCUGUGUCUUCUCUCAGGGAGAAUGACUAGUCUCGAGUCAUUGGUGUGUGUGACAUCAAGACAAGUACGUAGGUGCUCAAUAGAGAAUGAGUUCACUGAACACGAUCAACGAAGAGUUCUCAUACUCAUGUCACAUGAGAACUUAUGGUUGGGAUAAUGCAAAGUAGUCAUUUGACCUGAGGCAUCAUAGUUGUCUUGUAGUUAGGUCCUUGAUCUUUGAUUAUGUCAAAGUCACCCCAU
This 296-nucleotide long non-coding RNA is filed under the name Malus domestica (apple). RNAcentral's name for it is "long non-coding RNA (MDOM_LNC004468)". The record is from RNAcentral. Lineage: Eukaryota; Viridiplantae; Streptophyta; Magnoliopsida; Rosales; Rosaceae.